UACGGGGGGAGCAAGCGUUGUUCGGAUUUACUGGGCGUAAAGGGCGCGUAGGCGGGACGCCAAGUCGGUCGUGAAAUCUCCGGGCUCAACCCGGAGGAGUCGGCCGAAACUGGUGUUCUUGAGGGAGGCAGAGGAGUCUGGAAUUCCCGGUGUAGCGGUGAAAUGUGUAGAGAUCGGGAGGAACACCGGUGGCGAAGGCGGGACUCUGGGCCUACCCUGACGCUGAGGCGCGAAGGCGUGGGGAGCAAACGGG
Molecule: ribosomal RNA, 253 nt
Filed under: uncultured bacterium
Lineage: Bacteria
Description: partial 16S ribosomal RNA
Rfam family: Bacterial small subunit ribosomal RNA
Source: RNAcentral